Molecule: long non-coding RNA, 529 nt
Organism: Carassius gibelio (silver crucian carp)
Lineage: Eukaryota; Metazoa; Chordata; Actinopteri; Cypriniformes; Cyprinidae
Exons: 3
Source: RefSeq, a predicted model, not a curated record
GGAGCACCAGGAGCCUUGCAAAGUAAGUACAAAUAGCUAAAUAAAUCAAUAAAAGACACAUAACAUCUUUAGAAAGUUACAUAUUUGUGUGUUGACAAACAGCUCCCAGAGCCAUUGGACCAGCUCUCCGGCAGCUGGUGCGCGUGUGGCAGGUGCGCGCAGCGGGUGAUUUACGCGUCUCCCUCGUGCGGGACGGUGACGCGCCGGGGUCACACCGCACGUGAGUCCAUCACAUGAGCGCGUCAGAGACACAAAUAACUGGGAAAGAUCUCAGCGACGGUAUACAGGAGAGAAUCCUCUGAUUCAGUGGAGGCUUCAGUUUCAGUAUCUGAGGAUCACAGUUGAUGGAGGUUUCAUUCCUUGUGAAUGAUCAAAAAUUGGUGACUACUAAGUUCUUCACACGGACCCGUGCAGUGACGUGUGUUGGAUCAGUCAACAGAUGGCAGUGCUCAUCCAAACGGAACAGUCAAUAUGAACUUAGUCUUCAUCACACAUUUUGACCAUGUGGACUGUUCAUGCUUGUUUGUUU